AUGUAGCAAUACAUGGCGUACUGCUCAGUAACACGUGGACAACCUGCCCUUAGGACGGGUAUAAACCCGGGAAACUGGGUAUAAUUCCCGAUAGGUCUCGUCUGCUGGAAUGCAUCGAGAUCCAAAGCUCCGGCGCCUAAGGAUGGGUCUGCGGCCUAUCAGGUAGUAGUGGGUGUAGCGUACCUACUAGCCUACAACGGGUACGGGUUGUGAGAGCAAGAGCCCGGAGAUGGAUUCUGAGACACUAAUCCAGGCCCUACGGGGUGCAGCAGGCGCGAAAACUUUACAAUGCUGGGAACAGCGAUAAGGGAACCUCGAGUGCCAGGUUACAAAUCUGGCUGUCGUGAUGCCUAAAAAGCAUUAUAUAGCAAGGGCCGGGCAAGACCGGUGCCAGCCGCCGCGGUAACACCGGCGGCUCGAGUGGUAACCGUUAUUAUUGGGUCUAAAGGGUCUGUAGCCGGCCGGAUAAGUCUCUUGGGAAAUCUGGCAGCUUAACUGUCAGGCUUUCAGGGGAUACUGUCUGGCUCGAGGCCGGGAGAGGUGAGAGGUACUUCAGGGGUAGGGGUGAAAUCUUGUAAUCCUUGAAGGACCACCAGUGGCGAA
RNAcentral lists this ribosomal RNA (603 nucleotides) under uncultured archaeon. Its description in RNAcentral is "bacterial SSU rRNA". It matches the Rfam family "Archaeal small subunit ribosomal RNA", at positions 62 to 670 of the family's 1478-position model. The record is from RNAcentral.